GCAGGAAAAAUAUACAGAGCCCCUCCUCAUAGGAGGCAGGAAUCUCAGGCUUGAGUUUCAUGUUACAUGGCCGAGUAUGACUGAGGAAAAGUGACAUGUGAGGAAACAGGAGUGUAGGGAGCUCUGAGAGUAACAGGGAACCAGGACCAGGAAAGUUGGGAGCAUGUCUCUAAUGAAGUAAUGAUUACCUAAGACCUGAUGGAAGAGGAUGAUUGGGAUUGGUGAGGAGUGGGACAGGCAGGGCUUAUAGGAACCCCAGAGGUGAGAUCAUCUUGGAGGUCCCAGAACCAAAAGCCGACCUGAGGAAGCUGGAGUACAGAGAUGAGGAGCAAAAUUCUGUUAGUCAAGGCUAGGGGAACCAAACCAAUCAGGAUUCCUUGUUAAAUUGAAAGCCCUAAUUCUAAAGAAAAUACCAAACAAAACAUUAUGAAUACAUUUCUAGUAAAUGUCAACAAUUUCUAAAUAAUCCUAUCAAGUUAAAAUCUCAACCACAAUGAAGUGACCAACUCAGAUGGAAGAAGGUAUUUUGACAUGUAUCUUGACAAAGGAUGUACACCUAGAGUUCUAAAUGCCACUGAGAAAAUGCAGACACCCCAAUGUGAAAAGGUAGAUUGUCAUUCAAUAAAAAGCACAAUUUUUAGUAAUAGGGGAAAUGUAAAUUAAAGUCAGAUUGUUCCUCAUCCUCACCAGAACCUGUACAAUUCUAUUAUUAAUACUAUUCUGUACUAUUCUAUGCUUGUCAAAUUGGCACUAAUUUAAAAUGACUACAACACCAGGUUCCGGUGAGGAUGAGGAGCAAUCUGUACUUUCAUAUACUGCAGAAAUACAAAAAAAUUGGCAUUAUCUACCGAAGUUUAAGAUAAAUAAUUCCCAAGAUCCAACAAGUUCAUGUCUUGAACUUGUGUGCAGGUGCACCAGAAUCCCAGUGACUCUAGGCUGAGGCAGGAGGAUCCCAAGUUCAAGGCCAGCCUCAACAACUUAGUGGGAUACUGUCCCAAAAUUUAAAAAAAAAAAAAAG
RNAcentral lists this long non-coding RNA (1018 nucleotides) under Marmota monax (woodchuck). Lineage: Eukaryota; Metazoa; Chordata; Mammalia; Rodentia; Sciuridae. The record is from RNAcentral.